Molecule: small nuclear RNA, 177 nt
Filed under: Sorex araneus (European shrew)
Lineage: Eukaryota; Metazoa; Chordata; Mammalia; Eulipotyphla; Soricidae
Description: U1 spliceosomal RNA (ENSSARG00000015501.1)
Rfam family: U1 spliceosomal RNA
About the family: U1 is a small nuclear RNA (snRNA) component of the spliceosome (involved in pre-mRNA splicing). Its 5' end forms complementary base pairs with the 5' splice junction, thus defining the 5' donor site of an intron.
Source: RNAcentral
AUACUAAUCUGGCAGGGGAGAUACCAUAAUCACAAAAGUGGUUUUUCAAGGCUGAGGUUUUUCCACUACAUUCUGAAAUGUAGUGGAUGUGUCGCCCUCCCCGCACCUAAAUUUUCUAAUGUGGGAACUUGACUGCUUAAGUUUUGGUAGUGGGAAACUGCAUUUGUGCUCUCCUGU